Molecule: ribosomal RNA, 492 nt
Filed under: uncultured bacterium
Lineage: Bacteria
Description: partial 16S ribosomal RNA
Rfam family: Bacterial small subunit ribosomal RNA
Source: RNAcentral
AGUGAACGCUGGCGGUAGGCCUAACACAUGCAAGUCGAACGGCAGCACAGUAAGAGCUUGCUCUUACGGGUGGCGAGUGGCGGGCGGGUGAGGAAUACAUCGGAAUCUACUUUUUCGUGGGGGAUAACGUAGGGAAACUUACGCUAAUACCGCAUACGACCUACGGGUGAAAGCAGGGGAUCUUCGGACCUUGCGCGAUUGAAUGAGCCGAUGUCGGAUUAGCUAGUUGGCGGGGUAAAGGCCCACCCAGGCGACGAUCCGUAGCUGGUCUGAGAGGAUGAUCAGCCACACUGGAACUGAGACACGGUCCAGACUCCUACGGGAGGCAGCAGUGGGGAAUAUUGGACAAUGGGCGCAAGCCUGAUCCAGCCAUACCGCGUGGGUGAAGAAGGCCUUCGGGUUGUAAAGCCCUUUUGUUGGGAAAGAAAAGCAGCAGGUUAAUACCCCGCUGUUCUGACGGUACCCAAAGAAUAAGCACCGGCUAACUUCGUG